RNAcentral lists this ribosomal RNA (550 nucleotides) under uncultured bacterium. RNAcentral describes it as "bacterial SSU rRNA". It matches the Rfam family "Bacterial small subunit ribosomal RNA", at positions 222 to 769 of the family's 1533-position model. The record is from RNAcentral.
ACGAUGGGGAUGCGUUCCAUUAGAUAGUAGGCGGGGUAACGGCCCACCUAGUCUUCGAUGGAUAGGGGUUCUGAGAGGAAGGUCCCCCACAUUGGAACUGAGACACGGUCCAAACUCCUACGGGAGGCAGCAGUGAGGAAUAUUGGUCAAUGGGCGAGAGCCUGAACCAGCCAAGUAGCGUGAAGGAUGACUGCCCUAUGGGUUGUAAACUUCUUUUAUAAAGGAAUAAAGUCGGGUAUGGAUACCCGUUUGCAUGUACUUUAUGAAUAAGGAUCGGCUAACUCCGUGCCAGCAGCCGCGGUAAUACGGAGGAUCCGAGCGUUAUCCGGAUUUAUUGGGUUUAAAGGGAGCGUAGAUGGAUGUUUAAGUCAGUUGUGAAAGUUUGCGGCUCAACCGUAAAAUUGCAGUUGAUACUGGAUAUCUUGAGUGCAGUUGAGGCAGGCGGAAUUCGUGGUGUAGCGGUGAAAUGCUUAGAUAUCACGAAGAACUCCGAUUGCGAAGGCAGCCUGCUAAGCUGCAACUGACAUUGAGGCUCGAAAGUGUGGGUAUC